This 438-nucleotide ribosomal RNA is filed under the name Triticum aestivum (bread wheat). Its description in RNAcentral is "partial small subunit ribosomal RNA". Lineage: Eukaryota; Viridiplantae; Streptophyta; Magnoliopsida; Poales; Poaceae. The record is from RNAcentral.
AUGACUAAGGAUAACUUGUUAAAAAGAGGUAUCAGUAAACCACCUGAAUGUAUGUUUUGUAAGGAACAGGAGUCAAUAGACCACCUGUUCUUUGGAUGUGUGGUUGCCAAACAGAUCUGGGCUGAAAUGUCCAAGAUCCUUUCCCAUGAUAUAGGCAAUGACUACAUAUCUAUUGCUAGAUUUUGGCCAGCUCAUAAACAUAAAAUGGUCUUGAACUCGGUUUGUGCCUGUGUUAUGUGGUGCAUCUGGAAGUUCAGAAAUUCCAUGAUUUUUAAUAAUGUGAUGUGGACUGAUCUUAAACAGGUUUGGUGGCAGAUCCAUUGGACUCUCAAGAAGUGGAUGAUCUUGUUCAAAGAAAUAGGUCUAGAAGAGCUGAAGCUGGUGUCACAGAAAGUGGCAAUGACCCUCACCUCUCCUUUCCUACUGACCAUGGGGUGA